Molecule: ribosomal RNA, 497 nt
Filed under: uncultured bacterium
Lineage: Bacteria
Description: partial 16S ribosomal RNA
Rfam family: Bacterial small subunit ribosomal RNA
Source: RNAcentral
GAUGAACGCUGGCGGCGUGCCUAAUACAUGCAAGUCGAGCGAACGGACGAGAAGCUUGCUUCUCUGAUGUUAGCGGCGGACGGGUGAGUAACACGUGGAUAACCUACCUAUAAGACUGGGAUAACUUCGGGAAACCGGAGCUAAUACCGGAUAAUAUUUUGAACCGCAUGGUUCAAAAGUGAAAGACGGUCUUGCUGUCACUUAUAGAUGGAUCCGCGCUGCAUUAGCUAGUUGGUAAGGUAACGGCUUACCAAGGCAACGAUGCAUAGCCGACCUGAGAGGGUGGUCGGCCGCACUGGAAGUGGGACACGGUCCAGGGGCCUGCGGGAGGGCGCAGUAGGGAAUCUUCCGCAAUGGGCGAAAGCAUGGCGGAGCAACGCCGCGUGAGUGAUGAAGGUCUUCGGAUCGUGAAACUCUGUUAUUAGGGAAGAACAUAUGUGUAAGUAACUGUGCACAUCUUGACGGUACCUGAUCAGAAAGCCACGGCUAACUACGUG